UACGUAGGGCGCAAGCGUUAUCCGGAAUUAUUGGGCGUAAAGAGCUCGUAGGCGGUUUGUCGCGUCUGCCGUGAAAGUCCGGGGCUCAACUCCGGAUCUGCGGUGGGUACGGGCAGACUAGAGUGAUGUAGGGGAGACUGGAAUUCCUGGUGUAGCGGUGAAAUGCGCAGAUAUCAGGAGGAACACCGGUGGCGAAGGCGGUUCUCUGGGCAUUACCUGACGCUGAGGAGCGAAAGCGUGGGGAGCGAUCCGG
Molecule: ribosomal RNA, 253 nt
Filed under: uncultured bacterium
Lineage: Bacteria
Description: partial 16S ribosomal RNA
Rfam family: Bacterial small subunit ribosomal RNA
Source: RNAcentral